Molecule: ribosomal RNA, 271 nt
Filed under: unidentified marine bacterioplankton
Lineage: Bacteria
Description: partial 16S ribosomal RNA
Rfam family: Bacterial small subunit ribosomal RNA
Source: RNAcentral
AAGUCGAACGGCAGCACGAGAGCUUGCUCUUGGUGGCGAGUGGCGGACGGUGAGUAACGCGUAGGAAUCUACCAUAGCGGGGAUAGCCGGGAAACUCGGAUUAAUACCGCAUACGCCCACGGGGAAAGCCGGGAUCUUCGGACCGGUCACUAUUGGAGGAGCCUGCGUAGGAUUAGCUAGUUGGUGAGGUAAAGGCUCACCAAGGCGACGAUCCUUAGCUGGUCUGAGAGGACGAUCAGCCACACUGGAACUGAGACACGGUCCAGACUCC